Molecule: ribosomal RNA, 253 nt
Filed under: uncultured bacterium
Lineage: Bacteria
Description: partial 16S ribosomal RNA
Rfam family: Bacterial small subunit ribosomal RNA
Source: RNAcentral
UACGGAGGGUGCAAGCGUUAUCCGGAUUUACUGGGUUUAAAGGGUGCGUAGGCGGGCCUGUAAGUCAGUGGUGAAAUCUUCCCGCUUAACGGGAAAACUGCCAUUGAUACUAUAGGUCUUGAAUUCAGUUGAGGUGGGCGGAAUGUGUCGUGUAGCGGUGAAAUGCUUAGAUAUGACACAGAACACCGAUUGCGAAGGCAGCUCACUAAAGUGUAACUGACGCUGAGGCACGAAAGCGUGGGGAUCAAACAGG